UACGGAGGAUCCAAGCGUUAUCCGGAUUUAUUGGGUUUAAAGGGUGCGUAGGCGGGAGAUUAGGUCGGUGGUGAAAUUUUGCAGCUCAACUGUAAAAGUGCCAUUGAUACUGGUUUCCUUGAGUGUGGAUGAAGUAGGCGGAAUUUGUGGUGUAGCGGUGAAAUGCAUAGAUAUCACGAGGAACUCCGAUUGCGCAGGCAGCUUACUAAACCAUAACUGACGCUCAGGCACGAAGGCGUGGGGAUCAAACAGGAUUAGAUACCCU
This 265-nucleotide ribosomal RNA is filed under the name uncultured prokaryote. Its description in RNAcentral is "partial 16S ribosomal RNA". It matches the Rfam family "Bacterial small subunit ribosomal RNA", at positions 524 to 788 of the family's 1533-position model. The record is from RNAcentral.